CAGAAAGUGAUUUAAUUAAAAUAUAAACUUUGGAAGUUUAAAUUGAGUAUAACUCCUUUCUGA
This 63-nucleotide transfer RNA is filed under the name Chilecicada sp. PL492. RNAcentral describes it as "tRNA-Pro". Lineage: Eukaryota; Metazoa; Arthropoda; Insecta; Hemiptera; Cicadidae. The record is from RNAcentral.